AUUCAACCCGCAGUCCUCAACAUAAGUCAGCCACGAACCGGUACAUGGAGGAGAAAAGAGAAAAAAAAAAGCCCAGCCCGCACGACCCUUGCUCCCCGAUCCCAUCUCGACCUCCAUCCCGCCGCCACCUCCUGCCCCGCCCCGCCCCGCCCAGCCUCACUGCGCACCGCCCGCCGCCCGCCGCCGACGCGCCGCGCACCGCAGCCGCGCCCGCACCCAUUUCCCAUCGAUGCGCCAAACGGGGGCGAUGAUGGACGGCGCCGCCCAGCUCCUGUCCGACGGAGUCGCCGGGUUCCCGCUCUCGGGGCCAACCCCUCCCCUGUGUCGGCUCGCGCAUCGGCUUGGAGGCCCCUCGGGGCUGCCGCCGGUGCGGGAGUCCUGCGCGGCCGUGAGGGCUGGGGACCAAGCGGCGGGGCCCGUGGUGCGUUCCUGUUGAGGGCUUGCUGGGGUUGGCCGGGAUCUGAGCCGCCGUCGAUGGAUUUCUCGCAGGUUGGCUACAUGUUGCUUCGGAUUUGGUACUAUCCCCAUCUGUCGCUCUCCCUCUCCCUCGGUGUGGACGCACGCACCUAAAUCCAAAACCUGAACUGAAUCAGUCGAGCGCUCGUUGCCAGAUCGUUGUACCAUCGUCCCGGUCGCCGCCGCGUCAGUUCCACACCGCUACAGCACAGCCUACCACCGCCACUCCAUUGGCUUGGAUUUGCUUGCGGCAUGGGCUGGGAACUGUACGGUGUUGUCUGAUGCAUGUUCCGCACUGGGAGGUUUGGUCGGCUGACGCUAGGUAUGAGCAGCUCUUGAGCCUGAUUGCUGGAUGUGCGCACGCAUGCAUGUAUACUUCUCACUUGCACUGCUUAUACAACACAUUGCAUGUACACCACGGCCGUGGACAGGCGAACGUGCUCCUACUCCUCACAAGGCACCCACAGUCUAUUAGCAAGCCAAUCCAAAACUUCAGCAUGCAUUUUUUUGAAAGGACAACUAAGUAUCUUUGUUAGUAACAUCUUUGUCAGAAAUUAGAAAAAACGGCAGUGCAUUAGUUGAGCUAAUCACCUAGCUUCAUCUCUUGGAUUAUGCAUUGAUAGUAUGGCACAUGUUGUAUCGUUAUAAGCAAUUUUUGUUAGGAGGUAAGAUUUUAGUGUCGUCGUUCAGUUUUUGUUACAUACAAAAUGAAUAUGAUUAGUUAAUUCUGUUUUCUUUUAAGAGGUAUUUCUCUCACGAGCCUUUGUGUUAUCCAUGUGAAUUCCACUAGAUUUAUCAUCCGUGUACCUAAAUUGUGCAUAUUAUCAAAUUUCUGGAAAAAAAAGUUGAGCGCUUAUUGUGGCCAUCAUCUGCAUAGCACCACACCUAGAGCUAAAAUCAAGUAACCUUCAUGGAUUUUGUUGACAAGAAAGACAACGAACUUAAUUUAACGGCUUGAAGUCAAUUGCACAUGUCUCAUACUGCAUUGAACCUUGGCCGAAGCACUCGACCACGACAAGCAGCAGCUCGGGAAGCCUUUGCAAUUCAUGUAUUUACAACAUCUACAGUUCAUGUAUUUACUGUCAUGCAUUGCACCUUCAUGGUUUUUGUUGUACUUCUGCAUUUGCAGCAUUUACAGCUUAAUGCAAUCAGGAAUUGGUUAUAGAUUUCAUGUGAUUUAAUUUCUAAAUGUUAACUACAGUGACAACUUAUGACUUUCAUAGGUUUUAUUUCCAUUGAGAGAGAGCGGGCAAUGGAUCGUGAGGUGGAAUGAAAUUAUAAGCAAAUUGAUCUGACCAUCUCUUGUUGUCAGGGAAUCUGUGUGAUCUGUUCUACUUUGACUUGGAGUGUACAACUAUGAUAUUGUACGUGAUGAUUUUUUUUUUGAUUCUGCUACUAGAGGUCAGUCAGAGGUGGUAAUUAUUAGUGGCAAAAAAGAGACGGUAAUUAUUACACUCUUUAUUUGCAAAAAAUGUGACUGAAACAAUGCUAAUUGCAUAUGUUUUGUACUUGUAGGAAGGCUAUGAAAGAAGUGUUCUUCCCUUAUUUUUAUGAAGCUGGGCACUGCCUCGGCUGCAAAGCGUGUGUUAUCCCAUGAAGCAGGCCCUCCUUUGCAAGGCUGACGACGAUAGCUUCAACUUCGCCGCCUAUUCUGGUCGAUGAUGUCAUUGAUAAUAACCAGGAAGUUUUCACUGCUCAGUUCAUCCAGUUGAAUCCUUCUAUUGUAAUUCUAUUCCCUACCUUUUCUUACUCGUAGGAAAUUCAAGUGUGGUACACAUGUGAGUAUCUUCUCCUUCCCUCUGUUGUAUGCAUGUGGUCAUUUGUUAUCCCGAUUAAGAAUCAAGAUCCACUACAUUCUUGAAUAUUGAAGACUGUUUUAGUUGGUCCAGAUUAAACUUGAUAAAUACAAUUUCCUUGUUGGUUCCAUCUGAGUUGUAUAAUUGAUUUGGGCAGUUUUCAGUAAUCUUAAGCUGUCUUCAGAUUUUAGCUUCCUCAAUCAUUCUGAAUUAUUUAACCUCAGUAUGAGGUACAUGUGUUCCAAAGAUUAAUCCUGAGAAAUUUGUAGUUGACCAGUUGGGUCUGUUUGAUUUGUUUAGUAGACUGCAACGGCAGUCACAAUUGUUCAGAUCUAUUCUAAAGCUGCAUUAUUAGCACUGCAAUAUCUUUGUUACUUCAACCAAAUAGUCCAGUCGUGUCUUAUUGAUUUGGACGGGUUCUUACUAAUCUUUAAGCCAACUUCAAAUUUUAGCCUGCUCGGUCAAUCUGGAUUAUUUAGUGUCAAUUUUGAUGCAUGUCUUUAAUAAAAUAAGAAACUGAUUUUGGGUGCUAAAAUAAACACUAAACACUACUUGUUCAUGGCGACUAUGUGUAGAAAGACGAUCAUGGUGGAGAUCCCGACGGUCGACGUGAAGCCGGGAUGGAAUAAGGGCACGAAGAUCACCUUCCUAGAAGGAACAAUCUGAUUUUUUCGGUACAGUUAUGUGUUCCAAAAAGUUAUUGUGAUGUAAUUUUUAUAUUAACACUAAUCUAUGAAGUUAUGUUUCCAGACAUUUCACUUUUUGCAUCAGCUGAGGCACAUUUUAUUUUCAAAUAAUUUCUGAAGUAAAAGUUGUGAAUGAACUGCAUGAUCUUUCAUGUGUCUGAAUUACACUUGAAAUAAAAAAUUAGAUAGCAAGGUGCGAGGAAAUGUGAGAAAAGUUGUCCAAAAACCGAAGAACCUUUUUUACUUUUCUUCCCAUUACAUGUUUGCUAUUUACACUAUGCUUUAUUUUUACUAUAAUGUCAAAAUUAUCAUGUUUUAAGAUGAAUGGUAAAUCAAAUAAGGAAAAAACUAUGGUGGCCAGAUUUGGUAGCCCUUAGCCCUUAUCAUGUUUUUAUAUCCAAAAUACUGUUUGAUCCUUGUUCAGUCUUAUUUGCAGCGUAAACUAUGUACAGUAAUCAUUAGACCAUCUUUGAAGAUCUGACGAACAAAAGCAGAAUGGUUCUUUCUAUACUGUUCGACCCCCCCUCCCCCCCCUUGCGUUCUCUCGCAGGGAGUGGCUAGCGCGCAACACUGCCAUGCUCCUCUGCUGCUCCGUCAUCACAGGGUGGGACGGCGACCUCGCCUUCCUGUUCAUUGUUCUGUCGGUAGCGACGUUCUUUGUCCAGGAUCAUCCGGACAGGGAGGUCCUCCAGGCCAUGCGUCUAGGCAUGUACUGCAACGCCGACCACAUGGCUAAGAUGGUCGUUGCCGCAACCGAGUUCCGUGCUCUCCGUUCUUCAGUAAAUCCAGAUGUGGAAACUAAAAGGCGAGUACCAUGGGAUCAUGAAGUAUAUAAAGCAAAGGAGGAGGAGUGCCAUCUACUCUCCAGCAAGAUAUUUUUUUUUGCUGGGGAAUGAACGAAUUGAAUGCAAGAUUGCAUUGUUACAAGGACAGAGAGUGGACCACCACCUUCAGUUUCUCAGAUUCCCUGUUUGCAUUCGCCAUUCUCAACAAGCACCAGGAUGUGGCUUUGGUUCUGCACAAACAAUAUCUUCAGUGGUUUCUAGAUCAAGCCCUAUGUUCUUUAUCUGAACAAUAGACAUUGUAAUUCUUCCAUCCAUUACCUCUGAAAGUCAAGAAUCGAAAGAAAAGUCAUUGGCAUAUCUCUGUCACCAAGGAAGGUUCGUUAGACAGAAAAAUGACCUCUGGUUAUGUAUGAGAUGAUGCAAUGCACAUAUCUCUGAAUGAAGCACAACAGGAAUUUACAUCCUGUAAUGCUAACUGUUGAUCAUUCUUCUCAGAAGUAUCAAGUCAUUAUCUCAUUUGCCCCCUA
Long non-coding RNA from Triticum aestivum (bread wheat), 4250 nucleotides. RefSeq lists it as uncharacterized. Lineage: Eukaryota; Viridiplantae; Streptophyta; Magnoliopsida; Poales; Poaceae. The transcript is spliced from 3 exons. The record is from RefSeq and is a predicted model, not a curated record.